RNAcentral lists this ribosomal RNA (232 nucleotides) under uncultured bacterium. RNAcentral describes it as "partial 16S ribosomal RNA". It matches the Rfam family "Bacterial small subunit ribosomal RNA", at positions 118 to 350 of the family's 1533-position model. The record is from RNAcentral.
UGGGCAACCUGCCCCUCUCUCUGGGAUAACCCCGGGAAACCGGAGCUAAUACCGGAUACUCCGGCUGGAUCGCAUGGUCCGGCCGGGAAAGGUCCGCCGGAGAGGGAUGGGCCCGCGGCCUAUCAGCUUGUUGGUGGGGUCAUGGCCUACCAAGGCGACGACGGGUAGCCGGCCUGAGAGGGCGACCGGCCACACUGGGACUGAGACACGGCCCAGACUCCUACGGGAGGCA